RNAcentral lists this transfer RNA (71 nucleotides) under Phloeotribus sp. BMNH 1047247. RNAcentral's name for it is "tRNA-Lys". It matches the Rfam family "tRNA". Rfam says of the family: Transfer RNA (tRNA) molecules are approximately 80 nucleotides in length. Their secondary structure includes four short double-helical elements and three loops (D, anti-codon, and T loops). The record is from RNAcentral. Lineage: Eukaryota; Metazoa; Arthropoda; Insecta; Coleoptera; Curculionidae.
CAUUAGAUGGCUGAAAUCAAGCACUGGUCUCUUAAACCAUAAUAUAGUAACUUCGAACCUACUUCUAAUGA